CUGCAUGGCUGUCGUCAGCUCGUGCUGUGAAGUGUUGGGUUAAGUCCCGCACGAGCGCAACCCUCGCUGCCUGUUGCCACCACGAGAGGUGGGGACUCAGGCGGGACCGCCGGUGACAAACCGGAGGAAGGUGGGGACGACGUCAAGUCAUCAUGGCCCUUAUGUCCUGGGCUACACACGUGCUACAAUGGCCGGUACAGAGCGCAGCGAGGCCGCGAGGCGGAGCGAAUCGCUUAAAGCCGGUCCCAGUACGGAUUGGAGUCUGCAACCCGACUUCAUGAAGUUGGAAUCGCUAGUAAUCGCGCAUCAGCAUGGCGCGGUGAAUACGUUCCCGGGCCUU
Molecule: ribosomal RNA, 340 nt
Filed under: uncultured Spirochaeta sp.
Lineage: Bacteria; Pseudomonadati; Spirochaetota; Spirochaetia; Spirochaetales; Spirochaetaceae
Description: bacterial SSU rRNA
Rfam family: Bacterial small subunit ribosomal RNA
Source: RNAcentral